RNAcentral lists this ribosomal RNA (397 nucleotides) under uncultured bacterium. RNAcentral describes it as "partial 16S ribosomal RNA". It matches the Rfam family "Bacterial small subunit ribosomal RNA", at positions 523 to 918 of the family's 1533-position model. The record is from RNAcentral.
AUACGUAGGGGGCGAGCGUUGUCCGGAAUGAUUGGGCGUAAAGGGCGCGUAGGCGGCGCGGUAAGUCUGGAGUGAAAGUCCUGCUUUCAAGGUGGGAAUUGCUUUGGAUACUGCCGCGCUUGAGUGCAGGAGAGGUUAUCGGAAUUCCCGGUGUAGCGGUGAAAUGCGUAGAGAUCGGGAGGAACACCAGUGGCGAAGGCGGGUAACUGGACUACAACUGACGCUGAGGCGCGAAAGUGUGGGGAGCAAACAGGAUUAGAUACCCGGGUAGUCCACACUGUAAACGAUGAAUGCUAGGUGUAAGAGGUAUCGACCCCUUUUGUGCCGGAGUCAACACAAUAAGCAUUCCGCCUGGGGAGUUCGGACGCACGGUUGAUACUCAAAUGGUUUGGCGGGG